Molecule: RNA transcript, 1742 nt
Organism: Trifolium pratense (red clover)
Lineage: Eukaryota; Viridiplantae; Streptophyta; Magnoliopsida; Fabales; Fabaceae
Exons: 7
Source: RefSeq, a predicted model, not a curated record
CUACACACAUUCAACACAGCUAUAGGGUAAGUUUUGCCAUGUGUCAAUCACACAAUGCUGCAGAAGAAAUCCUAGCUAGACAAGAUCACAAAUACUUUGCUUCUUCUGGCCAUCAGUUUGAAUUUCGUUUCCUCCCUUUCAUCUCUUUGCUUGCUGGGCCAAACUUUUUUACCCAGCCCAGUCCAAUAAGCCCAAGGAUGGCAAACAAACAAAAAAUGGUCAGAACUCAUAAGCAAGCUGUUGUCGUGUUGUCGUUUUCAGCAUGCGAGUGAUUUUCUUCAUUUGGGUAACAAACCUGUUGCUCCUUUCUCUGCUGCAAGCUCCUUUCACUGAUCUAGGUUUCAAAUUCAAAUUUCAAAUCCCCCUCAAAAUGUCUUUUGUGGCAUCUCUAUUUGCACACACAAUCUCUCUCCCUCUUCUACCUUCAUUCAAUACAUGCCAAUCUCUCUGCGUCAAUUUCUCUGCUUCAUCUCCCAGAAUCUAGAUAACAAUUUUUUUCUCUCUUUGUUUUCACUUUGGUACAGAUUAACUUCCAUUAUUAAUGAUUAGUUAAUGUGUUAUUUUCCUCACAGAUUCACACUUCCAUCGCAAUUUUCAGUUUUUAUUGUUUGUUCAGGUUCACAAUUAGAGUUUGAUUGGGCCAAAAGAUUUGUAGACUAUUUGGCUACUUUGGUCCUCUAAAUGCAGUUUUCGUGCCUCAUGAUGAUUAUAUUAGGCCAUGUUAUUCAGUCUCAUGGAACUAAACUCUUAGAUGCAGCAUGCAGCCGCCUCAGUUGUAGAAAAUUUGGGACUGUAUUAUAUUUCAAGAAUCGAUAUACAUUUUGUUUGCAAGCUAAAUUCACCUGAAACUUCUGUUUUAAAGGCUUUGGAUUGCGCAAUCUUGAUAAAUUUGUUUUAUACUUGCAGGCUUUACCCGGUCUGCAGUUGACUUCACUUAACAGAGUUAUUGUCCAGAGCAUGAAUGGGAAGAAAAGACAUGAAAAGCUCCUUUUGCUGUUGUAAGUACAGUUGCAGAGAGUGUGAGAGCUCAUGCCAUUGUUGAUGUUGCUGCUGGUCAGCAAAAUGACAUACCUAUGAUUCCUAAGAUGCUCAGAAAAUAUGAAGUUCUUCUAUUUUGUUUACAAAUUGAGAUAGUAUGCUGAUUUUUUCCAUUGGAAUGGCUUGGUGAAACUUGUGAUUUCUUUCUUCUCUGUCCGGACAAGAAAGUGCAGAUAGUAUAUGGCUCACUACCUUUUGAUCUUGAGGCUGGUCAUAAGAUACUACCAAAUAUAAUUCCCUGGAAUUUUCGCUCAGAGUUAUCCACACUAAUCGAGAAGGAGGUUGCCAAGUCAAUGACCAUAAUAGAAAACAACUCAAACUGGGAAGGGUUAGCUAAUGAAGAGCUUUGCAUAGAAACUGAUUAUUUAGCUAUUCUUGAUGGCACUUCUGUUGUAUGGCUACUUUGUUAUCAAUUUAGUUAUGUAAACAUCUUGGUUGCUAAUCUGUUGAGGUGUACAAUUUUAUUUUUUCAAUUUUUAGUGCAACUUAUACAGUGGAAUUGUUGACUGGAAAAGAUUAUGUAAGUAUAUUUUAAGGUUGUUUCAAGUCUUUUCCUAAAAGUGAAGUGAAGAAAUUUCAAGUUAUCCCAAUUUAUGGAAACAAUUUUGUAUAGAAGAAAUUGUAGGUUUUAAAAGUGAAAGUUUAUUGACAAAAAACACGAGGAGUGUCCGAUAUGGAUGCUGAAUGGAAUAAAUUUCAAGUUA